This 163-nucleotide long non-coding RNA is filed under the name Chrysolophus pictus (golden pheasant). RNAcentral describes it as "lncRNA (ENSCPIG00010000939.1)". Lineage: Eukaryota; Metazoa; Chordata; Aves; Galliformes; Phasianidae. The record is from RNAcentral.
UGUUUCAAGAUUUUCAUCGCCAUUACAAUGAUUGCUACUUCCUAUUCUUGAGAGGAUUCAGAAACAAGCCCAAGCCAUCUUCUUGAGCCUCUUUGGGGCCUCUUGGCGAGGACAGGGGUGUUUCCUCUUGGAAGAAAGCAGCAGGAUGCCACAGGAGUGGUAA